UCUUCCUUGGUCUAGUGGUCAUGAUUUCCGCUUGUCAACAGAUGAUCUGAUAGCAAGCGCGGGAGACCGGGGUUCGAUUCCCCGAGGGAGAG
This is a non-coding RNA of Taxawa tesnikishii (nom. ined.), 92 nucleotides long. The record is from the annotation of a GenBank genome assembly. NCBI's taxonomy places the organism in Eukaryota, Fungi, Ascomycota, Dothideomycetes, Dothideales.